AGAGUUUGAUUAUGGCUCAGGAUGAACGCUAGCUACAGGCUUAACACAUGCAAGUCGAGGGGCAGCAUGACGAUAGCUUGCUAUUGUUGAUGGCGACCGGCGCACGGGUGAGUAACGCGUAUCCAACCUGCCCUUGUCCAUCGGAUAACCCGUCGAAAGGCGGCCUAACACGAUAUGUAGUCCACAGAAGGCAUCUGACGCGGACGAAAUGCGAAGGAGAAGGAUGGGGAUGCGUCUGAUUAGCUUGUUGGCGGGGUAACGGCCCACCAAGGCGACGAUCAGUAGGGGUUCUGAGAGGAAGGUCCCCCACAUUGGAACUGAGACACGGUCCAA
Molecule: ribosomal RNA, 333 nt
Filed under: uncultured bacterium
Lineage: Bacteria
Description: bacterial SSU rRNA
Rfam family: Bacterial small subunit ribosomal RNA
Source: RNAcentral